UGCAUAGGAAGGGGCUGAUUAUAGAA
Molecule: non-coding RNA, 26 nt
Filed under: Mus musculus (house mouse)
Lineage: Eukaryota; Metazoa; Chordata; Mammalia; Rodentia; Muridae
Source: RNAcentral